UAUACAUGCAAGUCGAGCGAACUGAUUAGAAGCUUGCUUCUAUGACGUUAGCGGCGGACGGGUGAGUAACACGUGGGCAACCUGCCUGUAAGACUGGGAUAACUUCGGGAAACCGAAGCUAAUACCGGAUAGGAUCUUCUCCUUCAUGGGAGAUGAUUGAAAGAUGGUUUCGGCUAUCACUUACAGAUGGGCCCGCGGUGCAUUAGCUAGUUGGUGAGGUAACGGCUCACCAAGGCAACGAUGCAUAGCCGACCUGAGAGGGUGAUCGGCCACACUGGGACUGAGACACGGCCCAGACUCCUACGGGAGGCAGCAGUAGGGAAUCUUCCGCAAUGGACGAAAGUCUGACGGAGCAACGCCGCGUGAGUGAUGAAGGCUUUCGGGUCGUAAAACUCUGUUGUUAGGGAAGAACAAGUACGAGAGUAACUGCUCGUACCUUGACGGUACCUAACCAGAAAGCCACGGCUAACUACGUGCCAGCAGCCGCGGUAAUACGUAGGUGGCAAGCGUUAUCCGGAAUUAUUGGGCGUAAAGCGCGCGCAGGCGGUUUCUUAAGUCUGAUGUGAAAGCCCACGGCUCAACCGUGGAGGGUCAUUGGAAACUGGGGAACUUGAGUGCAGAAGAGAAAAGCGGAAUUCCACGUGUAGCGGUGAAAUGCGUAGAGAUGUGGAGGAACACCAGUGGCGAAGGCGGCUUUUUGGUCUGUAACUGACGCUGAGGCGCGAAAGCGUGGGGAGCAAACAGGAUUAGAU
This 752-nucleotide ribosomal RNA is filed under the name Priestia megaterium. RNAcentral's name for it is "bacterial SSU rRNA". It matches the Rfam family "Bacterial small subunit ribosomal RNA", at positions 50 to 783 of the family's 1533-position model. The record is from RNAcentral. Lineage: Bacteria; Bacillati; Bacillota; Bacilli; Caryophanales; Bacillaceae.